This 65-nucleotide transfer RNA is filed under the name Balclutha sp. EMHAU-2015-Zz052711. RNAcentral's name for it is "tRNA-Arg". The record is from RNAcentral. Lineage: Eukaryota; Metazoa; Arthropoda; Insecta; Hemiptera; Cicadellidae.
AAAGAAGUAAUAAAAUUUUACAUUUAGUUUCGACCUAAAUAUUAAGGAAAAUAUCCUCUUGUUUU